RNAcentral lists this ribosomal RNA (460 nucleotides) under uncultured bacterium. RNAcentral describes it as "partial 16S ribosomal RNA". It matches the Rfam family "Bacterial small subunit ribosomal RNA", at positions 338 to 795 of the family's 1533-position model. The record is from RNAcentral.
CCUACGGGAGACAGCAGUGAGGAAUAUUGGUCAAUGGGCGGAAGCCUGAACCAGCCAAGUCGCGUGAGGGAAGAAGGCCCUACGGGUCGUAAACCUCUUUUGCCGGGGAGCAAGGGCCGGGACUCGUCCCGGCCUGGAGAGAACCCGGAAAAAAAGCAUCGGCUAACUCCGUGCCAGCGGCCGCGUUAAUACGGAGGAUGCGAGCGUGUUCCGGUUUUAUUGGGUUGAAAGGUUGCGUAGGCGGGCUUUUAAGUCAGCGGUAAAAAUUCGGGGCUCAACCCCGUCCGGCCGUUGAAACUGGCGGCCUUGAGUGGGCGAGAAGAAGGCGGAAUGCGUGGUGUAGCGGUGAAAUGCAUAGAUAUCACGCAGAACCCCGAUUGCGAAGGCAGCCUUCCGGCGCCCUACUGACGCUGAGGCACGAAAGUGCGGGUAUCGAACAGGAUUAGAUACCCCAGUAGUC